This 497-nucleotide ribosomal RNA is filed under the name uncultured bacterium. Its description in RNAcentral is "partial 16S ribosomal RNA". It matches the Rfam family "Bacterial small subunit ribosomal RNA", at positions 28 to 507 of the family's 1533-position model. The record is from RNAcentral.
GAUGAACGCUGGCGGCGUGCCUAAUAGAUGCAAGUCGAGCGAACGGACGAGAAGCUUGCUUUUCUGAUGUUAGCGGCGGACGGGUGAGUAACACGUGGAUAACCUACCUAUAAGACUGGGAUAACUUCGGGAAACCGGAGCUAAUACCGGAUAAUAUUUUGAACCGCAUGGUUCAAAAGUGAAAGACGGUCUUGCUGUCACUUAUAGAUGGAUCCGCGCUGCAUUAGCUAGUUGGUAAGGUAACGGCUUACCAAGGCAACGAUGCAUAGCCGACCUGAGAGGGUGAUCGGCCACACUGGAACUGAGACACGGUCCAGACUCCUACGGGAGGCAGCAGUAGGGAAUCUUCCGCAAUGGGCGAAAGCCUGACGGAGCAACGCCGCGUGAGUGAUGAAGGUCUUCGGAUCGUAAAACUCUGUUAUUAGGGAAGAACAUAUGUGUAAGUAACUGUGCACAUCUUGACGGUACCUAAUCAGAAAGCCACGGCUAACUACGUG